This is a small nuclear RNA of Echinops telfairi (small Madagascar hedgehog), 163 nucleotides long. Its record names the gene U1. It matches the Rfam family "U1 spliceosomal RNA". From Rfam's summary of the family: U1 is a small nuclear RNA (snRNA) component of the spliceosome (involved in pre-mRNA splicing). Its 5' end forms complementary base pairs with the 5' splice junction, thus defining the 5' donor site of an intron. There are significant differences in sequence and secondary structure between metazoan and yeast U1 snRNAs, the latter being much longer (568 nucleotides as compared to 164 nucleotides in human). The record is from Ensembl. NCBI's taxonomy places the organism in Eukaryota, Metazoa, Chordata, Mammalia, Afrosoricida, Tenrecidae.
AUAAUUACCUAGCAGGGGAAAUACCGUGAUCACAGAGGUGGUUUUCUCAGCAUGAGGCUUAUCUAUAUUGCACUCAGGAUAUGCUGACGCCUGUGAUAUCCCCACAGUGGGAAACUCGAUUGCAUAAUUUGUGGUAGUGGGGGACUGCAUUGGCACCCUGCCC